GAAAAAAGCUGAUUUUGAUGAUCCAAAGUUGGUUUUGAUUGAUGAAACAAUAGAACCCGUGACAGGGUAAACAGAGUUUGGAGUGAAGUUCAGCUUAUUAGCUUGCGAAAGAGUAUGCAAAGGGGCCGAAAAAACUGAAGAAAAUGCCAUUGAGGACAUCAGAUUCACACACAAAACACAGCUGAAUUGAAACAGAUCUUCUUCUUCUUCAGGAAUCAGAAGCAAUUGUGCUAUUGUGAGUGAUAAAAACACGCGGGACAGGCACAGCAACAGAAGUUGGAAUUUAGAGUGGAAGAUGAUGAUCCACGUGGUAGUUUGAGUGCCUUUCUCUUUUUUGGGCUUUGAGUCCUUAUUCAUCCUUGUGUUUUGCAAAAAUUAAUUUUUCAAAUACGGUAAAACUUUUAAAAAGUACUCUAAAAAUAGUUUUAAUUUUUUUAAUAUUUCAAAAAUAUUCUAAAAAUCCUACUACUUUUAAAUAUUUUAAAAUAUAUUCUAAAAACUCUGUUAUAAUAAAAUUUUUUAAAAAUAUUUUAAAAAAUAGCUAAUCCAAAUGGGACACAUCUUUUUUAUACAAUACUAAAUGCUUUCUCUAUUAUUGUCCUAUCAAAUAUGUUCAUUACAUCCAAGGUACUAUUGAAAAAUCAAAAUGUGCAUAGACACCACAACUUCCUAGGGGCACGCAUGAGAAGACAGAUUGCUUCUUGAAAUUUGAAUAUGCAAAAAAAGAUGUUGUUGUGAUAGUUUAUUAACUUAUCAAUUUUACACCAAAUAAGAAAUAGGUUUUUUUCAAUCCAUGAAAAUAAGAAACUAAUGGAGAAGAUAAUUUAGAUGAAUAAGGGUUUUGUGCUUUUUGGUAAAUGUUCAUGAAUAUCAAUUCAAACGUGACUUACUUUACGUAAAAUUGUGUUAUCAUCACUGCAAAAGUAGUCAAGCAAAAUAAUUAAGACAAAAUAUUCGUCCUUAUCAAAUCUUACAAGGGAUAAUUUCAGCAAUUUCUCUUGAUGUUUAAAAAACUAUGGAAACCUGGUUUGAAAAACUAUGAAAACUCCUUUAGAAAGUAAAUCUUGAUAACAAUGGAUGAUAUAAGCCAAAAAAAAAAAAAUCGAUGAAUAUCCAAUACAACCCUUCUCUAAUAUGUAAAACAAAUUAAAUCUUAAAAAGUCAAUUAUUUCCAUUAUCUGUUUGGUGAAAAUUUCAAACAUUUCAUAGGAAAAUUUAAGCCAUGUUUUGAACGCAUUCUUUUUUGGUACUUUGGACAUUUUUUUUUUUUGGUAAGUAAUUUUUGAAAGUACUUAUUUUAACAAAUGCCUCCUUAACUGGUUGGUCAACCUUUUUAUAAAUUGAUUAAUGAAUCUAGUAGAAAAAAUUGAGAGUGAAAUAUAAUGUACUAGAUUAAAUGACAUUAGAGUUUAGGAUAAAGAAGUAUCACUACAAAAGAAAUUUCAUUUUUCUCUUUUAAACUCAUUUUUACCGAAAAUUUGUAAAGUUUGUGAAGAUUAUUAUUACAUAGUUUUUUCAUAACAUCAAGAAAGUUAAGCGUAAUUUUUCAAAUAACAGGAGAGGUGGCCUCAAUUAUCAUCAGAAACCCAAAAGGGAGGUUUGAAAUUAUCCUAUCUUACAAAUACAAAUCUCUAUCAAAUAGAUUUUGUUAAACACUAACAUGGAAUAAUUGACCAACAUAAUGUGAAUCAAACUCCAAGUAAGUUUGACUGCCAACAUCAUUUUAAGUGUAAUUUCCUAAGACCUCUCCUCGUAAUAUAAUAGGAUUUAUUGACCGCUGGUCCGCAGUGGUUGGCCUCAACGGAUUGUACAGUUAACCAAUCACUGUUAUUGGUUAGUUGAAUUUUAGAUGUUAAUGACUAAAUGUGCAAAGAAACUGAAUAGGAACCAAAAUAAAGGAAUGCUACAAGUGUAACGGAUUAAAUGUGUCUGUCUAUUCUAUUAAAAAAAAAAGGGUAAUAUUAUUUGUACUCCUCAUAUAUUAAUUGCACUCCCACUAUCUCAUUUUUAUUUUGACGAGACUAUAUUACUCCCUUCCUAAUUUAUUCUCCUUGCCUGUGAGUUAAUUUUACUAGAUUUUCUCUUACAUUUUAAAACCAAUUAAUUAUUCCAUUACACAUUAAAAUGGCUAAUUUAAAAUUAUCACUAAUAUGUAUUAUGUAUUUUUCUACAAAACUUCACAAAACUACAUGUUGCCAAAAAUCAAUCUAACAAUGUAAUAUAAACAAAUUCCAAACUUCAAACCCAAAAAAAUAAAAACAAAAAGUCCCAAUCUUCAAAGAUGACCAAAAACUAAGUAUAACUAUAAUGUCUCAUAAAAAUAACACUAAUACUUCAAAAAAUCUACUAAGAAUAAUUCAUAUAGCCACCAUAGUGGGAGUGAAGUUUUCUAGCAUAUUUCAACAAAAGUAUAAUAGCAUCUAGUAUCCAGAUGAUGCAAUGGAACCUCAAUUGUGUUCAUAAAAAAUAUACAAAAUUGGAAUUAAAAUAAGAAUAUGAAAAAUAAAUUAAAAAACAAUUCUGUAGAUUUAGAAAAGAGAAACCAGAGUUAUGUAGAUUUAGAAAAAAAGAACACAAUUGUGCCCAACUUCCUUACAUGUGAACACAAGAUAGGGUAGAAGAAAAAAUUACGAUAGGAGUAAUAUAGUCUCAUCAAGAUGAAAAUGAAGUAGUAGGAGUGCAAAUAACAUAGAAGGAAAAACUAAUUUUUAAGGGCAAAGGCAUUAGUCCUCUAUAUCUCGAGUUUGUAAUUCUCUCUACUUUUAGUUUUCCAUAAUUCAUUCUCCAUUUUUUUAAUAUUUUUUUUAUACCUAUAACUGACGUAACUAUUGCACAUAAAUCAUUAGGCUAAAAUACUCAAACGGAUUUAAUAAAAUUCACUGCUCAAAGUCUCAAGGUAGUCCACUUUUCUUGAGAUGUGAGUUGUUUACACGUAUCGCUUUGGUGCCUUUGCGUCUUUAUCGAUCGCUACAUAAACCACUUGGUGUAUUUUACCCAAUUGUUUUUGAACCUUUUGUUGCUGCCUGCAUCUGCCUUUUUUUUUUUUUUUCCGUCAUCGCCAUUUACUCUACUUCUGCUCCUACGUUUACUUUAACCUAUUCUAAGAGGUAAUCCAACUGAGUCAAGGGGAGGAUCGAUCAUAACUGAACUACAAUCGAACCAUAUUAAUACACUACACACCCAUAUCGAUAUGGAUUUGAAGACGCCACAUUAGUGGCAAAGUGAUGGAAGCCUGCAAUGGCCAUGAAAGACAAGGAAACAAGUUGUGAGCAACUGCAAGUCCCUCAAGUACUAAAUAUUUCUUAAGAACCAUUUUUUUAAGCAGAUAAUUUAUUUUGUUUUAUUAGUACAAAAAAAAAAGAAAAAAAAUAAAUGAUGAGAAACUGCUUAUAAAUAGGCAUUAAGAACCGUAAAUAGAACUAAGAGUCCUAGUUUUAUCAUGUUUCUUUAUGUUUACAAAAUCUUGCACAGUAAGAAAUUCACCUGGAGGAGGAUUUACUCCUUUGCAAAGAUCAGGUUAGCCAUUUGGUGCAGCUUUAGUCAAGGUUUUAACUAUUUUAACAGUUGAAAAUCUUUUGUUUACUGAAUAACUAUAAAUGUCCAGUUUCUUGUUGAUCACGAAUUUCAGUGGUUAGACAACCUAGCUAAUUGUUAUUUCAGCUUUGUAACUAUACUUUAGGACACGAGAAUUUUACUGUUUGGACAACCUAAUUGUUGUUCUCAAAUAGGUUCUAUCAUUGGCUCAGAAUACAAUUGCUCUCCAGCUUUUUUCCUCUGCUGUCUCAAAUAAGGGUUGAAAGUUUCACUUUUGAUAACGCACCAAGUUUUGCUAGUCAUGUUGCUUCAGCACUUUUUUAACUGAUCAAUUAGUUACUGGUGUCAAUAUCUUCUUGCUUUAUCUUUGAACCGGCAAACUUCUUCGAUAACUAUUCUGGAUUUGCAGCACAAGAAGUGUUGGGCUGUUGAUGCCUUUGCCAGCCAAAUAUGUAACGUUGUUUGAGUGGACACAGCCUUUGAACAGUUUUGCACAAAAUCAGGUCUCAUCUCUGUAAUUUUACAUGCUAUUGUCUUCAUAUCACUCCUAUCGUACUGGAGGCAGGGAGUUUUUUCAAUUGCCUUUUGCUCAUUAUAUCCCUAAUUCUUUCCACAUCCUUCCACUUUUCUAGUCCAGCAUAUAUGUUGGAUAGAAUAACAAAGGGAAUAGGAUUAUCAGGCUCUAAAGCUGAAAGCUCUCUAGCAAUCUCUUCGCCCAGCUCAAAAUCGGCAUGCUGUUCACAAGCUCCAAGCAACGAAGCAAGAACAGAGGCUGAGGGAUCUGUUAUUCCUCCCAACAGUUGUUGAGCUUCUUUCAGUUGACCAGACCGACCAAGUAGAUCAAUCAUGAUGUAGAGUUGCUCUGAAGUUGGUUGUAAACCAUAGUUAACAACCAUCGACCGGAAAAUUUGCCACCCUAAGUCAACUUCGCCAGUAUGACUACACAUUGAGAGCAUGCAGUUGAAAGUUGCUGAAUUUGGAUGCACUUUUUCCUCCAGCAUCUGGUAGAACAACUUAAAGCCAUCUUCACUUCUGCCAUUUCUGCUGUAGCCAGAUAUCAUUGCAUUCCAAAAUGCUGGAUCACGAGGCUUUAUGUUGAAUUGGUUAAAAACACAUUCGGCUAAAGUAGUUUUCCCGCAUUUCAUAUACAUAUCAAUGAGUGCAGUGGCCAAAAAUUCAUCAUCACUGAUCCCUGACCUAAGAACAUGUGCAUGAAUCUCUUGUCCAAAGUGCAGCGCGGACAGAGCUGAACAAGCAGUUAAUAAACUUGUGACAGAUUUCAGACUGGGCAAUAUAUUCUCAGAGAGCAUUUUCCUGAAGAAGAGGAAAGCUUCAGCUUCUUGUCCCAACCGGGAAAACCCACUGAUCAUCAAAUUCCAUGUUGCUGAAUCUGGCGUCAACUGGUUAUCUUCCAAUUGUACAAAAAGCUCAAUUGCAAGCUCACUUUGAUCAUUCAACAUCAUUCCUGCAAUCAUCGAAUUCCAUGUUAUUAAGCUUCUACCAUUACCCAGUUCCUUAAACACCCCAUAAGCAGAAUCCCAAGAGCCACAUUUCGAGUACAUAUCUACAAGUGCAGUUCCAACCUUAGUGUCAAAUCUUAAUAAUCCUUUCAUAGUAAACCCAUGGACUUGUCUCCCAAAGCGAAGAUAUUUAAGUUUUGCGCAAGCAGAAGCGACCGAGAUCAACGUAACUAAGUUCGGGUUUCCACUAGAUGAUCCUCUCAUCUCAUUAAACACAUUCAAGACCUGUAAAUGAGCCCCAUUCUGCAGCAUCCCCGACAUAUAUGCAUUAUAGCAAACCACAUUCUUGCAAUGAAUCAAUCCAUAAACCUUUUCAGCCGAGCCCAAAUCUCCACAAUUCAAGUACAUUGUCAACAACGACGUUGCUGCAUAAAUAUCGGUUUCGACACCAAUCUUAAUAGCCAAACAAUGCAAUUGCACACCCUGCUCAGCAUCACUGCACCCAGAUAAGCCACUAGCUAUAGUAACGGAAUCCGGUCUAAUCCUUCGACAACUAAUUAGCUGAAACAUAUUCAGAGCCUCCUUACAAAACCCAUUUUGAGCAAACCCAGAAAUGACGGCAUUACAUAGAUCAAUAGUUGGUUUACGAAUUUCAUCGAACAUCUUGGUUGCAUCUUCCACCAGCUUCAGUUUCAUGUAGACAUUCGUGAGAGCAGUAGCAGUGUGCAUUUGGAACUGGAACCCAGUUCUAAUAAUAUGGGCAUGCAGCAUCUGGGCUUGGGAGAGAGCUUUUAGGCUGGCGCAUGCUUUGAGGAGAAAAGGAAAUGCGAAGUUUUUGGGAAGAAAUGAGGCUGGGACUGAGGCAGAGUGGAGUUGAGAGUAGAGAGCAAGAACUUCUCUGUAAAGCCCAUUUCUUACUAGCUGCGAAAUUUGGUGAGCCAUCCUUUACGCCGCCGUAGUCUUUCCUGUUCUGGGCUCAUUUCUUGAAAAUUUUCAAUAGAAAUUCAAUUUUCGGGAUUCUAUUGAGAUUGUGAUUUCGUCCACUUAAUUUAUGACCAGAGUUAGUUUUUUCAAUUGGGAGUACGAGUUCUUUGCCAGUUCAGCAAUAGUUUUUCUUUCUUUCUCGCAAUUGGAUGGCAGAAAGUGGGCAGAGCCAAUGAUUCUCGAUUCUCUUCAAAACAACCAAAGAUCAGGUAGCUUGAACAUAUUUAUCAAAUUGGAUAACUUUUCCAAGGACCAUAUAUUAUUUUAUUUUAUGACCAUUGUUCUGGUUGGUUGGAUGGAGCCUUCCAUUUCCUCAUUUUUUUUUUUUGGUUGAGGCAUCCUUUGCAAUGUGGUAGCAAGACUGUUAAAGAGUAAGCAUAACAGGUUAAAUUUUAGCUAUGAUGACCAAACUUUUUUCGGCAUUGGAUUGGCUUAAUUUCUUGAGUUUUUAACCUUUGAAUUAGAGCUGAUUUAAAUUUGAGCAAAUCUUAUAUACUUAGAGUGUAUUUACUCCCAUCGUUAAAUUCAUAAUAUAUAUGUAAAAGUUGAAUUUCAAAUUCAAAUUUUACAUGAUUAUUAUUAAUCAAAUACUAAUAAUGUGUAGGAAAAAUUAAUCCUUUACAUUUUAUGGUUGUUACAUAUACGAACUUGGAAUAGGGUAGAGGAUUUUGAGCUUAACUGCUGAGAUGCAGGCUGAGAAAACAAGCCCAUUUGAGAGUUGGAAAGAGAUUUUUUUCCCCCAUAUUUAUAAAGGCUGAUUGGGAGAUCGAAAAAUUGUGCCCUUGGAGUUAUGCCCUUGGAAAUGUUGGCAAGAGCCAAGUGCAAGGAGUUAUUGGACUGACCAUCUUUGAUUUGGAGGAAAAACGAAUGUGAAAUCUAUACAGAGCCAUGCACCAAAAUGGGCUUUCCUAACUGCUGCCAUGUUACAAUUUAUCAAUUCCUCUAUCACAAUUACUUACGCUUGUCUCAGAGAUUGAGUUCAUUCCUGCUGGAUGUAAUCUAUUUAUCAUUCAUUCAUUGGGAUUUAGAGACCAGCAAUGUUCUCCUUAAAAAAAAAACAUAUGAGCAAAAUUUUCAAAUUUUGGUCUUUCAAGGUUGCAGUAACAGGAGCUCCCUAAGUGUCAAAGUAUGUGACCCUUCCAUCAUCAGACCAAUCCUACUGUAACAUAUUAACCAAAACCGUGGUAGCCUCAAGAAACUCAUGAGGCUCCUGUUUAACUAGUUAUAAAGGUGACAAGCGACAGUGGUGAGAAUGAUUCAAGCUGAAACUAAUGCCUGUACUGGUCUUUCCAGCAUGCCAAAAUUCGUCUAACUAGGACUCUUGCCAAGUACUUUGAUUAGUCAUGUUCUUGAAGUCCAAUUGGAUAGUACAAUCUAUCCUUCAAUUUCAUAUGGCAAAAGUGUUAACAGCAAAUUCCAGAACAUUCAAACCAGAAAAUUUUCAUAUACAGAGCAAUGAGUUGUUGCACCAUCAAUAAGCUAGACCAUACUGAUGCUAGAUUUUCACUGCUAGUAUUCCAUCCUCGCUGAAUUUUGAUAUACAGAGCAAUGAGUUGUUGCACCAUCAAUAAGAUAAACCACGCCGAUCCUAGAAUUUUGUGGCUAGAUUUCCACUGCUAGUAUUCCAUCCUUCUUGAACUUGAACUGAAUACUGCAUGUGCCAAAGAAUGUCUUCUAUUGAUGGACGCGAGCUUGAUUCUUUGUUUAAACAACUUAUGGUGAUCUGAGCUACUGUUUUUAGUGAUUCAUAUGCAAAUGUUCCUCUAAUGGAGAGGUCAGUCAAAUCUUUGAGUUUCGAUGGCGAUUCUGCUAAGCAAAUUUCCAACUGUUCAUUGGAAAAAGUACAUUUUAGCUUUGAUUAGUUGAAUCAUCAAAAGCAGCACGAGGCAAGUAAAGAUUUUCAUUUAUCAAUUAUAAGAAAACUGUUGCUGGUUACCUGAAGUUUUAGGUCAUCUAUAUCGCUUGGAGAAAUGAUUGGUCGACCAGUAAUAACUUCAAGCAAUAUAACUCCCAGCUGAUAAAUGUCGUCUUUGUCCGUGUUUUGCUGCUAGAUAAGGGCUAUCUUGUCCAUUCAGAGGGCUUUCGGAACCCACCUGUGAAGUUGCAGCAACACAUGAUAUUAGGGAUGUGCUACAUUUGAGACUUGUUGACUUAGUGAGAUGUCCUAAAUGAGCGUUGCUUGAAUAGAUUUACCUUUGAUGGCAAGGACAAGUUAUAGCUGCUUAUUUUUGCAGAUAGGCUCUCAUCCAGCAAUAUGUUUUCAAUCUUUAGAUCAUUCCCAAUAACACCAGAGGUGUGUAGGUACUGAAUUCCCUUUGCAAUACUCAUCAUAAUCGAGAUUCUUUGUGGCCAUUUAAGAACUUCCCUCUUUCUCCAGUCUGCCAAUUUGUCAAUACAUAAUAUCUCAUUGCCUUUCAAGGAAUAGGAGCUGAAUCUUAAAGAUGGAGAAUGAUAGAAAUCUAGUCUAUGUUUACCAGUUAAGUGAUCCC
This 8467-nucleotide long non-coding RNA is filed under the name Coffea arabica (coffee). Its description in RNAcentral is "long non-coding RNA (CARA_LNC008218)". The record is from RNAcentral. Lineage: Eukaryota; Viridiplantae; Streptophyta; Magnoliopsida; Gentianales; Rubiaceae.